UAGGGAAUCUUCCACAAUGGACGCAAGUCUGAUGGAGCAACGCCGCGUGAGUGAAGAAGGUUUUCGGAUCGUAAAGCUCUGUUGUUGGUGAAGAAGGAUAGAGGCAGUAACUGGUCUUUAUUUGACGGUAAUCAACCAGAAAGUCACGGCUAACUACGUGCCAGCAGCCGCGGUAAUACGUAGGUGGCAAGCGUUGUCCGGAUGUAUUUGGCGUAAAGCGAGCGCAGGCGGAAUGAUAAGUCUGAUGUGAAAGCCCACGGCUCAACCGUGGAACUGCAUCGUAAACUGUCAUUCUUGAGUGCAGAAGAGGAGACUGGAAUUCCAUGUGUAGCGGUGGAAUGCGUAGAUAUAUGGAAGAGCACCAGUGGCGAAGGCGGCUCUCUGGUCUGCAACUCACGCUGAGGCUCGAAAGCAUGGGUAGCGAACAGG
RNAcentral lists this ribosomal RNA (429 nucleotides) under bacterium. RNAcentral's name for it is "partial 16S ribosomal RNA". It matches the Rfam family "Bacterial small subunit ribosomal RNA", at positions 355 to 776 of the family's 1533-position model. The record is from RNAcentral.